Molecule: long non-coding RNA, 344 nt
Filed under: Diabrotica virgifera virgifera (western corn rootworm)
Lineage: Eukaryota; Metazoa; Arthropoda; Insecta; Coleoptera; Chrysomelidae
Description: uncharacterized LOC126882299
Source: RNAcentral
UGAAAAGACAGGGUCAAAGACAAGUUUAAAUAAAGACAAGCUAGCUAAUGAAACAGAUGCAGUGAUAUGACAAACACCUAGAAGAUGGAAUCCUGUGUUCUCAAAGAAAAAGCUAGUUCCAGAAAUAAGCUACCAAUAAUAAACUAUAGAGAAUGUAUUACAAGAAAGAACAACGCUAAUACUCAACAUAGCUCAAUUGCUUCAGAUAGAAAAAGAGGAGGAAAGGGCAGAAGACAAGCGUGCCAGAGAAAAUUAAAGGGCAGAAGAGACACAAAAAUUCAUUGAUUUAUUAAAUUUAAUAAUUAAAUUAUACAAAGGACAAUUAAAUAAAGAAUAAAAAAUUA